This is a long non-coding RNA of Hemicordylus capensis (graceful crag lizard), 675 nucleotides long. RefSeq lists it as uncharacterized. Lineage: Eukaryota; Metazoa; Chordata; Lepidosauria; Squamata; Cordylidae. The transcript has 2 exons. The record is from RefSeq and is a predicted model, not a curated record.
AGAACUGCACACAGUACUCCAAAUGUGGCCACACCAUAGAUUUGUAUAAGGGCCUUUGCUAUGGGAAAGUGGGGUCCAAGUAACUAGGCAUGAAAGCUUUUUUUUAAAUGGAAGAAAAUGUGUCCUUCUUGUUUCUUUCAAGCCCUUGAUAUGUCAGAAUUAGCAGUGAGAGAUAUGGGAGGUGGGAACUGCAACAUGUUUUUGUGCUAGUAGAAUCUCUGGACACACCUGCAAUUUUGUACAAAGCGCCGCCUUUGGUCUGCACCACUUCUGAAUUGGUCCCUUCUUGUAAGUUGCCUUUCCAAUGGAACAUGCCCAAGAUGGUGUUCAAGUUGAGGAAUAGCAAUAAUAAGGCAAGCAAAGCUGAUGCUGAUGGUUGGUCUUGUGAAUGUGUCACAGAAAAUGCACUAGAAAAAAAAAUGCAGAGAUGAGAAAUCAUUAAAGAACUAAAGAUCCAUUGUGGGGGAGACUUUGAUCUUCCUGUUUCCAAGUGAUUAUGAGAAGUGAGUAACAAAAACCGAAAGGUGAUUCAUAUGGAUUGACGUCGUCUCCUGGAAAACAUACCAUUUUUAGAAGAAGGGGAAAGACACAAGGGAGCAAAACAAAUUCCAGGGCAUUGCAUCUUUUAACUUGCUAAAUGCAGAAGCUUGCAUUAAACACAACUUUUUCCACGGA